This is an RNA transcript of Myzus persicae (green peach aphid), 2402 nucleotides long. It is a transcript of the gene named proton-coupled folate transporter-like, with no coding region annotated. Lineage: Eukaryota; Metazoa; Arthropoda; Insecta; Hemiptera; Aphididae. The transcript is spliced from 9 exons. The record is from RefSeq and is a predicted model, not a curated record.
UACGUAUUAAUAUAUAUUGUAUACAUUUAGAAAGUGAUGUUUCGUUGAAUUUUCAUAGCUUUUGUACCCAAUGUACUUUUCAUUAAAAUGCCCAACUAAUAUAUUGAAAGAAGAUGCACGGUAUUAUGAAAAAGUCCUAGAGGAAACCGUUUGGAUCUAUGUUUAUGUUAUAUAACAAUCCGGUUUACAGCGUUUGCGUUCCUAUAAAACGAACUAGUGAAUGCCUAUAGUCCAUACGUUAAACGCGGAGUUGUAGUCAGCAAGACAUGACGCCGAGUUGACGCGAUGAGUUGAUAAAUACAACGUGUUUUUCUUCAUAAUAUUUUUAUUAAUAGAUACAGACAAUUUGGAAAUAGUAUUUCGUGAAUACUGCUCGCAAAUCGCUAUUAUGACGAUGAACAAACACAAGGCAAUGGAGUGCCCUCCGAUUAACAACGCCGAUAUGAAUGGAGACGAGUGGCGAAAAAUGAGCUUCACGUCCAAGGCGGCGCACUUGGCCCGGAACGUGACGGUAGAACCGUUGUUGGCGUUCUUCCAGCUAUCCAUGAUCAUAUCCAGCCUGACCACGCAAAACCUGAACAUGCAAAAGGCUUGUCGGGUAAACCUCGGUCUGGGCGAUAAGGUGUGUUUUGCCCUGGAGAACAAGAACGCCUCGUUUUACCGUGACGAAGAAAUGUCAGUGCAGCUGCUAGUGACCAAGAUGAUGCUCUGGCAGAGCCCUUUCCAGAACAUGGUACCGUGCUUCCUGGUCAUGUUCGUCGGCUCGUGGAGCGACCGGAACCAGAAGCGAAAACCGCUCAUGCUGUUACCAAUACUCGGUGAACUGGUGCGCAACGUCGGCCUGGUCAUUUGCGUGUACUUCUUCAAGGAGCUGCCUAUGGAGGUAGCAGGUUUCGUCGAGUCGGUCCCAUCGGCAGUUACCGGUGGCUUACCGGUACUGAUGGUCGCUAUAUUCGCGUUCGUGGGCGACAUAAGCACGGUUAAAAAUAGAACUGUUCGAGUUGGCUUCGUAAGUUUAAUAUUUUCGAUCACUAUCACCAUUGGAACAGCGUUAUCCGGUAUCAUGUUUCGAGAUUACGGGUUUUACGGAGUGUACUUUAUAUCCACUGUAUUGUAUUUGUUCAGCUUCAUAUACUGUAUAAUUGUCAUCAAAGAUGUUAAGCCUGACGUGGUAGAAAAAUACCAUGAGCCCAAUAUUGCCAUUGGAUACCACAAAAAAUCAGUUUUUCGUUCCAUAACCGAUUUCUUUAACUUGAAACACGUAAAAGAAGCUCUUCGAGUUACAUUUAAGCGAGGAGACGACAAUAACAGAAGAACGGACAUUAUAUUGUUGUUUGUUAUCAUGGUCAUUAUUAUGGGUCCUCUAAGUGGUGAACAAACAUUGAUGUAUUUGUUGGUACGAGUUAAAUUCAAUUGGAAUGAAGUAGAUUUCAGUUUUUUCUCCACGUAUUACUUUAUUUGUAAUCUCGUAGGUAUUGGAUUUACAUUGUGGAUUCUGGUUAAUCGUUUUGGUAUUGACGACAGACUGCUGGGAGCAAUCGGAUGUCUGAGCAAAGGAUUAGCUUCAUUCGUCUACGCCUGUGCCCCGACCGAAUUCUUAUUCUACCUAGGCCCGAUUGUGGACAUUUUCCAUGGUACAUCACUUGUUGCAUUUAGGUCGAUACUCUCAAAACUUGUUCCUGCAAACCAACUAGGUCAGGCGUUGGCGGUAUCUUCACUCAUCGAAACUAUAGUUCCUGCAAUAUUCAGACCUCUCUACAAUGUGAUUUAUUAUAAAACAAUACACUUUCUACCUGGAGCAUUUUACUUACUCGGGGGAAUGCUCAAUGUUUCCGGCAUCUUUGUUUUUCUAUGGAUGUACAACCGUACAAAAGGAAGAACGUAAACAUGAAAAUCUCAGAAAGUCUAAAGUUACAAAACUGAUUUAACUAUAAAGGUUCUCAUCACAUUGGAUUCCCGCAAGACUUUUAUACCAACUUCCCUUUUCAUAUGGAUGUACAAAAAACACAAACAAAAUGAAAAAUGUGAAGACUUUGAAGAGAAACAAGCCUUAUCAGGAGAGCCUAACAGUCAAAAUCUGUAAAAUUACACUGAAAUGUACAAAAAAAAUAUAUUGUUUUAAAUUAUUUUAUCAUGUAGAAUAGUUAAUUUAUUUCCCAUACACUUUUUUUAUUGUAUAUUAUUUUACUAGUAAAUAUUAGAUACUUGUGCAAGCCAAUUUUAUUUAUAAGUAUUUAUAUUACUUCAAUUUAUAUUAGCUAAGUUAAAAACACCUUUGCUAGAACCAAUUUUGGUGAGUUUAAAUUAGGUUUUACUUGUUGAAUAUUUUAUAAUUUAUAUUCGCACACUCAUAAUAUAUUGUUAAUUGUUAUCGUUAGAAAUAUAAAUAUUAAACGCUAGAA